Molecule: RNA transcript, 3794 nt
Organism: Macadamia integrifolia
Lineage: Eukaryota; Viridiplantae; Streptophyta; Magnoliopsida; Proteales; Proteaceae
Gene name: protein FAR1-RELATED SEQUENCE 5-like
Exons: 6
Source: RefSeq, a predicted model, not a curated record
UCACAGCUCACCGUCGUCGGCUUCCCCGUCCUCCUCCUCUCCCUCUCUCCUCUGCUAAGGAGCCUGGGAAUCCAGAGGUUAAUAGCUUAGGGCAAUUUUAAAGGGAACCGAACGCUGAAUAUAACAAAGAGCAUAACCAUCGCGAAAAUAAAAAUCAGGGGAGAAGAGCUACUAUACAUGGUGUAAAUGCCAUAGUUGAUCACCUGCAUUGCCUUUUGGUAAACUGUAGGUCAGAUAAGAUCAGAAAGUCUUGAAAUGGAUUACUAUAUCAAUCUUGAUCAAGAUUUAUUAGAAGCUGAUUUGGUCAUUCAAGAGCCUGAUCCUACCAUGCACAUCCAAGCAUCUCGAAAAGGAGAUGACACGGAAAAUGAUUCGAGUCUUGGUCAAGAGAUAACAAAAGCUGAUGUGAUGGUGUUUGAUGAAAGUAUUCAGGAGACACAACUGACUGUAGAUAUACGGGAGCCUCUACAGGAAGAUGUUGACAAAAAUGAAAGUGGUGGAAAGGAAAGUGACCAUGCCUCCCUCAAAAAGCUUGGGUCUGAACCAUACACUGGUUUGCAAUUUGGCUCUGAAGACGAGGCCUAUGAAUUCUAUAAUGCAUAUGCUAAGGAGAAGGGUUUCAGUAUCCGAAAGAGUCGUGUAGAACGCUCAAAGGUCGAUAAAAGUGUUCUUUCCCGCAAGUAUGUGUGUGCGCAUGAAGGAUUUCACUGGACAAAAGAUAAACGUUAUAAAGGCAAGGUCGUUCGGUCUCGAAGAGAAACAAGGGUAGAUUGUCAAGCAGCAAUGAGCAUUAAAAGAAAAUCUGGUGGAUGGAUGGUUUACAAAGUUCAUCAUGAGCACAAUCAUGAACUUGUUAAUGCUGUUGAAGCUUACAAACUUCGGUCGCAUCGAAAAAUGAUGAACACUAUGAGGUCAAUCCCUGUUAAACGUGAAGUUGGACCAUCCGAAAAUAAAGCUCAGCUUCAAGAUGCUGCACAAAGAGCAGAUAAUGUGGGAAUCAACAACCAAGAUAGCAAGAACUAUGUGAAUAAAGAAAGGAAAAUUAACUUUGGAGUUGAUUGGAAUCGUACACUCGAGUAUUUCCAAAGCAUGCAAUCAGUAGAUUCUGGAUUUUUUUAUGCAGCAGAAUUUGGUAUGAAUCAGAGCAUAAGGAGCUUAUUUUGGGUGGAUAGCAGAGCAAGAGAGGCUUACAAGCAGUUUGGGGAUGUGGUGGUAUUUGAUACCUCGUAUCAAACAGACAAAUACAGGUUUCCACUUGUUUCUUUCACUGGUGUAAAUCACCACAGGCAUUCUACAGUGUUUGGAUCUGGGUUGCUGGCAGAUGAGACUGUGGAAUCUUAUGUUUGGUUAUUUGAAACAUGGCUCAAAGCUAUGUUAGAUCAGCAGCCUCCUUCUCUGAUAACAUAUCAAGAUGAAGCAAUGAGAACGGCCAUAGAGAAGGUUUUUCCAGGAGUAAGGCACCGGUUUUGCAUGUGGCAUGUGGCAAAAAAUGAGUUGGAAAAUCUGGGAUAUGCUUUUAAAAUGCACAAGGAAUUUGAAGUUGAAUACAGAAAGUGCAUUCAUGCGAGUCAGAAGCCAGAAGAAUUUGAAUUAGGGUGGGAGGCACUUAUUGUGAAGUUUGGUUUGAAAGAUAAUAAUUGGUUAAAGUUAAUGUAUGAUCAGCGCCACCAUUGGGUGCCACUGUACUUACAAGAUGCAUUCUUUGCUGGAAUGACUACAAUAAAGAGAAGUGAGGGUAUAAAUUCUUAUCUUAAUGAGUUCUUGCAUGAAGGGACUCCUUUAAGUGAAUUUAUACCUCAGUAUGAUCACGCCCUAAAGCAACUUCGUGAAAAGGAAGCAGAUGAAGAUUUUGUGACAAUGCAUACAAAAACAGUUUUAACAUCGAAAAGCCCUAUUGAAGAACAAGCUGCCAGAGUUUUUACAAGGACUAUGUUUUCAGUAUUUCGACAUGGAUUCCUUGAAAGUUCUUGUUGCAUUGCAAAUAAGACAGACGAGGAAGGGCCUGUCAGCAAGUACUUGGUGCACAAAUACAAUGAGAAGGAUGAAAACAUGCAUGUUGCUACGUUUAAUGUGGUUGAUAAUGGCAUAAGCUGCAGUUGUCAGAUGUUUGAGUUUGAGGGGAUGAUUUGUAGGCAUCUGCUCAAGGUAUUCCAAAUGGUAAAUAUAUUUGAGAUCCCACCACGAUAUAUUUUAAAGCGGUGGACAAUGAGUGCUAGGUAUCUUCAGUCUAUUGAUGGAGUGGGAGGAUGUUCCGGGGAGGUUUUGAAAGAAACAGCUACAAAAUUUGUAGAGUUUGGUUCCACUUGCACUGAACGAACUAGUGUUGCUAUUAAUAUUCUACGAGUAGGCAUGGGAAAACUUUCUGAUAUCAAUAUGCCAAGAAGGGCCUUGCCUCCUGAAGAUUUGGGCUAUGAUAGUACUUUUCAAGGGCAAAAUAUCAUCGAACAUAAGGAGGGUAACAUGCCUGAUCUUUUACUGACCAAAGCGAAAGGUCAUCUUGUUACUUUGAGAGAGAAAUCGGGCUUUGAACAGUCACCAAAGAAGAAAAGAAUAUACCGUACAAGGGAGGAAACCAGACAUAAUAUGCAUGCAUCUUCAGAGGGAGUUGUUGAUCAAUCCCAUCUUGCUACAGUAUUGCAAGUACAUAACGAUCAUUCACAUCAUGUGACAAUGGUGCAGGGUCCUGUUCUUCUUCCUCCGCCUGUCGCAUUGUUGCCGGGCCCUGUCAUUCUUCCCCAUCCUUUUAUGAUGUUGCCUGGGCCGGUUGACCAGUCCCAGAGUUUAUGAUAUGAGAAAAUUCCUCAUAACAAUUGUACAAAGCUUCUCUCUCCUUUAUUCAAGACCAUGUAUUUCUUCCAAACACAGUUUUCCCAUUCCUAAGCUGAUGGCAAAUUUAUGAAAUUACUGCUAGUAAAUGUUGAUUCAGGUUCUGGUAGUUCUUCACACUUCAUUUUCUUGUCAAGACUCAAAAGGUUUCUGUGCUCAUGUAAGUGUGACAUUGACAGUUUAAAUCGGAAAUCUUUGACUCCUGAUAUUUGUGAUUUACACUAACAGAUUGAGCAACAAUGAUUUGCUGCCGAAAACUUAUUCUCAAAUCUCAGGUGUAUUUUACAUUUUUUUUUUUUUUUAAAGUUCACUGAAGUUUCUGUUGGAGUAUUGGCAUGCCAUUAGGGGUAAUCCUUGCCUGACAACAUUCUUAACGCUUAAUCUUGGAAGCUUUGAUGUUUCAAAACCUCCUUAAAAGUAGGGAGAAAGAAAUUGGUGCCAUCUGCCACCUUGCUGUAUAUAGAAGAUAAUGUAUGAUUGGAAGGUGACUACCCAGAUGAUGGGGAUGUGGAAUAUGGUAUUGCUGUAUGGUUCCGGUGGAAGAGCAGACUGCCACUAUGUCGAAGAUGGUGAUUCCAUUUAUAAAGAACAAUUCCCAGCCGGGCCAGAAGUUCUGGUGACAGUUGGUUCAUUCAUUACCAGAUUUGCACAAGCCUUUAGGAUGCAUUUGCAAUUGGUUGCUUGUGUAAGUACCACACUUGCCUGAAAAUCUGGUCUUUUGUGUGUUGAUAGUGCCACAGUAUUGCUUGAUUUCAGUGUAAGUUCAGCUCAAGAAAUGGGAAGUCUCCUUUGAUUUAUUCAAAGAAAACAAGAUGAAUCUGAUAAUACUGGCAAGAAUCCUAUAAUAUAACAUCCUCUCUCUACGUGUUAGAACUGUUGAAUGAACCAACCUUGGCUACAUCAUCAUUCUGCUCUUCUAUCAUUUGUUCGCUCUCAUCGGUAAAUACACGUGUACUCAUUUCAACAGC